This 699-nucleotide ribosomal RNA is filed under the name uncultured bacterium. Its description in RNAcentral is "partial 16S ribosomal RNA". The record is from RNAcentral.
ACGGCUACCUUGUUACGACUUCAUCCCAGUUACCAAUCCCACCUUAGGCAGCUCCUUCCCCGAGGGGUUGGGACACUGACUUCGGGUGUUACCGACUUCCGUGAUGUGACGGGCGGUGUGUACAAGCCCCGAGAACGUAUUCACCGUGGCAUAGCUGAUCCACGAUUACUAGCGACUCCGGCUUCAUGAAGUCGAGUUGCAGACUUCAAUCCGAACUGGGGACGGCUUUAAGGGAUUGGCUCACUCUUGCGAGAUCGCGGCCCACUGUACCGCCCAUUGUAGCAUGCGUGCAGCCCUGGAUAUAAGGGGCAUGAUGACUUGACAUCGUCCUCUCCUUCCUCCGAGUUGUCCCCGGCAGUCUCCCAUGAGUCCCCACCAUUACGUGCUGGCAACAUAGGACAAGGGUUGCGCUCGUUGCGGGACUUAACCCAACAUCUCACGACACGAGCUGACGACAGCCAUGCACCACCUGUGAUGAGCGCGUUAGCACACUGUGUUUCCACAGCUAGACCCACCAUGUCAAACCCAGGUAAGGUUCUUCGGGUUGCAUCGAAUUAAGCCGCAUGCUCCGCCGCUUGUGCGGGGCCCCGUCAAUUCCUUUGAGUUUUAGCCUUGCGGCCGUACUCUCCAAGCGGAACACUUAAUGCGUUAGCUACGACGCAGCAGACGUGAAUCAGUCCGCUACACCUAGUGUUCAUC